GUUGGCGUCCUGCCUGUGAUGGGUGGGGUUGAGGGCAUGCUGUUGGGUUGUGGGGUAUCACAUGUGUGGUGGCCUGUGCGGUGCUGUGUUGCGUGCGUGUGUGCGUGGUGUGGUGUUCGUGUGGUGGUUGAGAACUGUAUAGUGGAUGCGAGUAUCUUUAUUGUUGUAUGUGUUUGUGCGACGUGGUGUUGUGCAAAGUUGUGUAGUGCGAUCGGUGGAUGCCUUGGCACCAAGAGCCGAUGAAGGACGUUGUGACCUGCGAUAAACCCUGGGGAGUUGGUGAGCCAGCUGUGAUCCGGGGGUGUCCGAAUGGGGUGAUGUUCCUGACAUAGUCUGACUCGGGGAACUGUUCUCCAAGUGGAUCUCCGCACGGACGCCCGACACGUCGGUCCAUACUGCCAGUGGACCACUCCUGGCUGCCCGACUGGCCUGGAUGCCAACUAGUGUGUCUUGGAGUCAUGCCUUGACCAAGGUUGAGCAUGAUUUCGCUCGAUGUAU
RNAcentral lists this unclassified non-coding RNA (498 nucleotides) under Cutibacterium acnes. Its description in RNAcentral is "contains 16S-23S intergenic spacer region". The stretch from base 192 to 498 matches the Rfam family "Bacterial large subunit ribosomal RNA", at positions 1 to 299 of the family's 2925-position model. The record is from RNAcentral. Lineage: Bacteria; Bacillati; Actinomycetota; Actinomycetes; Propionibacteriales; Propionibacteriaceae.